AGACUGGAUCGGUUCGGACGAUAUUCACUGGAGUUGAGAAGAAUUAAGGGGAAAUCUCAUAGAAAUCUAUUAAAUUUGAACAAGGACAAGACAGAGUAAACACAGGGAGGGUGUUCCUGGUGCCAGGCGGAGGGUCCAGAACCAGGGGGUCACUGUCUAAAGGAGACGUGACAAGACUGAGAUGGGGAGAAAUGUCUUUACCCAGAGAGUGGGGAGCCUGUGGAAUUCUCUGUCACAGAAAGCAGUCAGGGCAAGAAUGUUGUUCAGGAAGGAGUUGGAUCGAGGGCAAAAGGGAGAGCGCGGGGAGGCACAGGACGAAGUUGGGCGAUCAGCCAUGAUCCCAUUGAAUGGGCAGAGCAGGCUGGAGGGGCCGAAUGGCCUCCUCCCGAUGAUAUUUUCAAUGUUUCUCUGUGAAUGGCUCGGUUGCCGCUGACAGGUGCACGACACAGGGAAGUUUUGCCUCGAUAUAUCUUGGCAGUGAAAGUGAGGGACAGUAAUUUCCAGUCAACAAUUUAGAGAGAGUGGAUGCAGAGUGAUCUUUUGAGUUUAGCUUCGAAUGUUCUGGCUUGGAUUGGUAGGAUGUUAUUAUUGAGACAGGCUGCACAGAAACAGUGAUGUCAUUGCGAUGGUGAGAGUUUGGAACGACAUUCACAGACACAAGGGUUUCCCUCCAAAUGGACGGGUGUUGGCAGGGGGGCAGGGCAACAGGGAACAGAAAACACUGGGGUUGAUGUUUGCUGAAGGAAUUAUGUUAUUGACAAGAAAUCCCUCUCUGAAUCCAGCACAGGAACACAGCACUGAGAUGGGAGUACUCAUUGUCCCAAUGUUUCUGAUCCUUUCUCUCGUCACAUUGCUUCCAAUUAAACUCCAGAACAGGAAACAAGCUGAUUCUUCCAGCAGUUCCCGGUGGCACAGUGUUGACCUGUGUUCAGGCUGACCAAGUGGAACAGCAACCACCCUUCUUCACAUACGCCAGCUUGAGGCACAAAUUUACAGGAGAGGAUGAGGAACCAGGUCAAGAUGAAGAGGGAAACGUUUAUGCCAGGCUUCCAUGGACAUUGUGAGACAGUACAGAAGAAAGCCUGUGAAGCUUCACAAAUCGAUCAAUAGCAAUCCUACCUUCCAGCAAAUAAGGAGGACAAGGGAGAGAAGGCAGAGCAAUGUCACGUUUCUGUGACUCAGCUCGGCUUUGUCUCAAUUCACUCAGCAAGAUGUCAGUUCCAAAGAUGGACUUGUCUUGAGAAACCAUCUGCAUAAUUGUCUCUCCCACAACCCUCAGUGUGUCAGUUGAUCCCGUUGUAGCACAAUCUAACUGUUGAUGGCAGAGAUUUCAGAUUUUAUGCUGUACUUUCCAUCUUUUGUUUAAAUUGUCGUCAGCUGGAAAUAAUUCAAGGUGGGAUUGUUUUCCAGCCCUCUCUUCAUUGCCCUCUAAUUUCAUCAC
This is a non-coding RNA of Chiloscyllium plagiosum (whitespotted bambooshark), 1441 nucleotides long. The record is from RefSeq and is a predicted model, not a curated record. Lineage: Eukaryota; Metazoa; Chordata; Chondrichthyes; Orectolobiformes; Hemiscylliidae.